Molecule: unclassified non-coding RNA, 366 nt
Filed under: uncultured Gammaproteobacteria bacterium
Lineage: Bacteria; Pseudomonadati; Pseudomonadota; Gammaproteobacteria
Description: contains 16S-23S intergenic spacer region
Source: RNAcentral
UCCGUGGUAACACCACGGCAGUCCCCCGUGACACAAGUAACACGGGGCAAGGGUUGCGCUCGUUGCGGGACUUAACUCAACAUCUCACGACACGAGCUGACGACAGCCAUGCAGCACCUGUGUUCAGGUUCUCUUUCGAGCACAUCGCCAUCUCUGGCGACUUCCUGACAUGUCAAGGGUAGGUAAGGUUUUUCGCGUUGCAUCGAAUUAAUCCACAUCAUCCACCGCUUGUGCGGGUCCCCGUCAAUUCCUUUGAGUUUUAAUCUUGCGACCGUACUCCCCGGGCGGUCGACUUCACGCGUUAGCUGCGUUACCGAAGGAGUUACCCUCCGACAACUAGUCGACAUCGUUUAGGGCGUGGACUAC